AUUGAACGCUGGCGGCAUGCCUUACACAUGCCAGUCGAACGGCAGCACGGACUUCGGUCUGGUGGCGAGUGGCGAACGGGUGGGUAAUGUAUCGGAACGUACCUUUCAGUGGGGGAUAACGUAGCGAAAGUUACGCUAAUACCGCAUAUUCUGUGAGCAGGAAAGCAGGGGAUCGAAAGACCUUGCGCCGAUUGAGCGGCCGAUAUCAGAUUAGCUAGUUGGUGGGGUAAAGGCCUACCAAGGCGACGAUCUGUAGCGGGUCUGAGAGGAUGAUCCGCCACACUGGAACUGAGACACGGUCCAGACUCCUACGGGAGGCAGCAGUGGGGAAUUUUGGACAAUGGGGGCAAGCCUGAUCCAGCCAUGCCGCGUGAGUGAAGAAGGCCUUCGGGUUGUAAAGCUCUUUCGGCCGGGAAGAAAUGGCAUAGGCUAAUACCCUGUGUGGAUGACGGUACCGGAAUAAGAAGCACCGGCUAACUACGUG
This 484-nucleotide ribosomal RNA is filed under the name uncultured bacterium. RNAcentral describes it as "partial 16S ribosomal RNA". It matches the Rfam family "Bacterial small subunit ribosomal RNA", at positions 30 to 507 of the family's 1533-position model. The record is from RNAcentral.